This 31-nucleotide ribosomal RNA is filed under the name Habenaria depressifolia. RNAcentral describes it as "partial 18S ribosomal RNA". Lineage: Eukaryota; Viridiplantae; Streptophyta; Magnoliopsida; Asparagales; Orchidaceae. The record is from RNAcentral.
UUUCCGUAGUGAACCUGCGGAAGGAUCAUUG